RNAcentral lists this ribosomal RNA (252 nucleotides) under uncultured bacterium. Its description in RNAcentral is "partial 16S ribosomal RNA". It matches the Rfam family "Bacterial small subunit ribosomal RNA", at positions 525 to 776 of the family's 1533-position model. The record is from RNAcentral.
ACGAAGGUGGCAAGCGUUAUUCGAAAUCACUGGGCUUAAAGGGCGCGUAGGCGGAUAUGUAGGUGUCAGGUGAAAACCCCCGGCUUAACCGGGGAACGGCCUGGCAAACGGCAUAUCUUGAGUCAAGUAGGGGUGUGUGGAACUCUUGGUGGAGCGGUGGAAUGCGUAGAUAUCAAGAGGAACGCCGAAGGUGAAGACAGCACACUGGACUUGUACUGACGCUGAGGCGCGAAAGCGUGGGGAGCGAACAGG